Molecule: transfer RNA, 65 nt
Filed under: Cosmetura nigrogeniculata
Lineage: Eukaryota; Metazoa; Arthropoda; Insecta; Orthoptera; Tettigoniidae
Description: tRNA-Leu
Source: RNAcentral
ACUAUUUUGGCAGAAGGAGUGCCUUGAAUUUAGAAUUCAAAUAUGUAAAUGAGUUACAGAUAGUA